GUCCCCAUAGCUCAACUGGAUAGAGCGUCAGCUUGCGGAGCUGGAGGUUGGAGGUUCGAUUCCUCCUGGGGACACCA
Molecule: transfer RNA, 77 nt
Filed under: Candidatus Uhrbacteria bacterium CG10_big_fil_rev_8_21_14_0_10_48_11
Lineage: Bacteria; Candidatus Uhriibacteriota
Description: tRNA-Arg
Rfam family: tRNA
About the family: Transfer RNA (tRNA) molecules are approximately 80 nucleotides in length. Their secondary structure includes four short double-helical elements and three loops (D, anti-codon, and T loops). Further hydrogen bonds mediate the characteristic L-shaped molecular structure. tRNAs have two regions of fundamental functional importance: the anti-codon, which is responsible for specific mRNA codon recognition, and the 3' end, to which the tRNAs corresponding amino acid is attached (by aminoacyl-tRNA synthetases). tRNAs cope with the degeneracy of the genetic code in two manners: having more than one tRNA (with a specific anti-codon) for a particular amino acid; and 'wobble' base-pairing, i.e. permitting non-standard base-pairing at the 3rd anti-codon position.
Source: RNAcentral